RNAcentral lists this small nucleolar RNA (124 nucleotides) under Echinops telfairi (small Madagascar hedgehog). RNAcentral's name for it is "Small nucleolar RNA SNORA61 (ENSETEG00000026042.1)". The record is from RNAcentral. Lineage: Eukaryota; Metazoa; Chordata; Mammalia; Afrosoricida; Tenrecidae.
UGCACCCAGAUUCCUUAUUCCUCAAACCUAAAUAGUGGUCUGGGUGACUUCAAAAAAAGGAAGAAAAUUAAAACUGAAAUGGACUUGGAGUCUUUUGUGGCAAAUAAGUUCAUCUCAAACAAAA